This 502-nucleotide ribosomal RNA is filed under the name uncultured bacterium. Its description in RNAcentral is "bacterial SSU rRNA". It matches the Rfam family "Bacterial small subunit ribosomal RNA", at positions 28 to 516 of the family's 1533-position model. The record is from RNAcentral.
GAUGAACGCUAGCGACAGGCUUAACACAUGCAAGUCGAGGGGAAACGACAUCGAAAGCUUGCUUUUGAUGGGCGUCGACCGGCGCACGGGUGAGUAACGCGUAUCCAACCUGCCCACCACUUGGGGAUAACCUUGCGAAAGUAAGACUAAUACCCAAUGAUAUCCCACGAAGGCAUCCGAAUGGGAUUAAAGAUUUAUCGGUGAUGGAUGGGGAUGCGUCUGAUUAGCUUGUUGGUGAGGUAACGGCUCACCAAGGCGACGAUCAGUAGGGGUUCUGAGAGGAAGGUCCCCCCACAUUGGAACUGAGACACGGUCCAAACUCCUACGGGAGGCAGCAGUGAGGAAUAUUGGUCAAUGGGCGAGAGCCUGAACCAGCCAAGUAGCGUGCAGGACGACGGCCCUAUGGGUUGUAAACUGCUUUUGUGCGGGAAUAAAGGAGCCUACGUGUAGGCUUUGCAUGUACCGUAACGAAUAAGCAUCGGCUAACUCCGUGCCAGCAGCC